ACAUUAGUUCACCAAGAGCUCAAGAUGAGAGAACGUACCGUGACUUUCUUGUAUUCAAUGUAGGUGCAUCACUGUAUGUCAUCCCCCAACAGAAAAAAAAUCGAUAUGACCAUAGAAAAUUUACAACUAUAGUAAAGCGCAAUCCACACCAACAUUGUGUAAUUACACAUAACCACCUAUACCAAACAAACGCAACGCCCCAUUGCCAAUUUUGCACAAUUUUGGAACUUGAGGCAGUUAAAGAGAAUGUUGACCCUGAAGCAUUGAACUAAAGGCUCAAACGUAAGCUCAAAUAAUUAAUUUUAACCAACUACACGUGCAGAGAGGUAUACAUAAAGUACUUAGUCGCUGUUGCAUAUUAUGCGGAAGUGCGAAGUCUCGUAAUAAUCAAUUCGCCGUUAAAACAACAUUGAAAUCCAAUUACAUGUUCGGGAAUUCAGACAACAAAAACUUAUCUAGAGCGUUGUAGUUUUCAUUCAGAGGAACUCAUGGCAGAAAUAUUAGAUCGUUCGGAUUGUAGGCAGGCACUGAUCAACGAGAAAUCUCCAUAACACAUUUAACCCCCCUAAAAAAAGGGCGCUUGCGAAAACGAAACUGUAGAAAGACUAACAGCACAAAAAAAAUCUUUAAAAAUCCUGAAUAUGAAAUGACUUUCUUUCCAUCUUAAAUACUUGAUUUAUGAAAAUGUGAAGUAACAGACAGAUUUAAAGAUCUAUAGCAAAAAUGCAAGAUCCUAGAAAAAAGGAUUCUUAAAAUAUAUGUCACUUAUGAUUGUAAAUAAGAGACCCCUAAAAGCAAUGGAAUAUGUUGAACAACCAAAAAUAAACUGCAUUAAUUUAUGUACAUUAUACUCGUAUGACAACUGUAGCGGAUUCAAAAUCCAGACAAGAUCUAAAAAUCUGACAAUACGUAUUGUGCACUGUUUGCAAUGACGUGUGUAGCUGAAUGUGAGAGCACACUUAAACAUCAACUAUAGGCACUUCUCAAAAGAAUUAGGGAAACUGAAAAGGAGGCAGAAGUAGGUUAUCCUUUUUUUUCAGCAGGACAUUUCACCGUAAACUUUUUGCGAAUAUUUAUAGAAGUGAGCAAACUUGAAGAAUGUUCAUCUGUUAAGAAGAUACCUAUAGACUGAGAGAAAAGUUACAAUUUAACUUCAUUAUAACUUUUUUUUCAGUGUGAUGUAGACUAAGUAUUUUUAUGUACAUAAUUAUAAACUGAAAUAAUUUUGUCAAUUACUAAAAAUGUAUUAAUUGUAAAAAUAAAUUUUCGUAAUUUUAA
Planococcus citri (citrus mealybug) is the source of this 1278-nucleotide long non-coding RNA. RefSeq lists it as uncharacterized. The transcript has 2 exons. The record is from RefSeq and is a predicted model, not a curated record. Lineage: Eukaryota; Metazoa; Arthropoda; Insecta; Hemiptera; Pseudococcidae.